Choloepus didactylus (southern two-toed sloth) is the source of this 1372-nucleotide long non-coding RNA. RefSeq lists it as uncharacterized. The transcript is spliced from 4 exons. The record is from RefSeq and is a predicted model, not a curated record. Lineage: Eukaryota; Metazoa; Chordata; Mammalia; Pilosa; Megalonychidae.
CUGGGGCGCAGUCAGCUGUGGCACCUGCAUCAGGGUGGGGCCUGUGCCUGUCAGCUGGUGGGACCGAGAGCCUUCCGUUGCGGGAGCCCAGUCCUGCUUCUCCUUGGUGACCGCAGCUGGAGCUGCUCCCACCACUAGCCCGAGAGCCCUGUCUGCCCUGUGCCCGGCCUUGCCAUGGUUGUGCUCCCUUCCCCUGGCACAGGAUUCUUGUGGCUUUAUCCACACGUGUCUUUAAUGACGUUGUAGCUAGCAAGGCUCUUAUCACCUUCUUUCCCUAAAAUUGGCUGAAAUGUUAAGUGACAUGUGAAAAAUAUGGAAUGUCAACUUGGCUUUCCCUUGCUCUUCCUUUAUUCAUUUUAAUGAAAUGGUCUUGUUUGUUAUGUGACAACCAGGAAGGAUGCUGUGAGGAGGGGAGGGUUGGAGGCCGCCUUUCUGCCUCUCCUUCCAGUGCCCUCCGUGUCUUCCAGGUGGAGGCUGACAGAGGAGGCAGGAGGAGGGGAGGAGGCCCGGGCGCUGCUGCUCUCCCAGUGCUCCCGGCCUUGCAGCUGCGUGUGUGAGCCCGAAGGGAAGGCCUGCAGCUGGGGGACAGGCUGCGGAGGGGCCCACGCUCGUGCUGCUGGAGGACGCGGCCACCGAGAUCUCAGACUGGAUUAGAAGUUCCCUCCCAGGCAGCAAGUAGGACAGCCGCCCUGCCUGCCAGGUGUUCCGUGUUGCCCCCUGGGGUCCUUCAACCUGCAGGCCUUGCUGCUGCCCUCCAAGGAGACCUUGCCUGAGGAUUCGGCCCUGGAGAGACCCAGAUGUUGAACUUGCUGAACUCUGGCAGCCCCAUUGCUUUGGCACCAAAGCGUCAGGAUGCUGUCCAGAGUAAUCAGAUUCCCCACAGUUUGGGGUUGAUGUUAGCAUCGGCAAGAAGCAGAGGAGUGAGAAGUUGUCCAGGUGUGCAGCUGUCAGCAGGACCAACCACCAAGGACUAAAGAGGAUGCAGCUCCGAUCAGGGAGUAAGCAUCAGAUAAAAUUUCAUGCUGCUCACUUCUUAAUACACACGGACAAAGCUGGAGAGAUCAGAAAAAUCACGAAUGCUGCAUGGCCAUUCAUUUGUCCCAAAUUGUGUUCAUUGAAGAACAGGCAGCUGGCAUUUGGAAAAGGUUAGGUCUAUAUAUUGCAGUCUUUAUCAUACUCAAAAAAUGCUUCCAUGAAUCAACCUGAACUGAUUUAUUGUGAUGCCAUGACUGCAUAUUUGGAAUGAAUCUACUACUGUGUUUUGGAGCUUUAAAAAUAAAAGCCACUGAUCAGGAGGAAAAUACCUUAAGAAGAUAGUGUGAUUUAUUAGUGUAUGAAGUUAUUCUUAAAGAAUGAAUAAAGUACUAAGGUU